UGGGGAAUUUUGGACAAUGGGCGAAAGCCUGAUCCAGCAAUGCCGCGUGUGUGAAGAAGGCCUUCGGGUUGUAAAGCACUUUUGUCCGGAAAGAAAUCCUUGGCUCUAAUACAGUCGGGGGAUGACGGUACCGGAAGAAUAAGCACCGGCUAACUACGUGCCAGCAGCCGCGGUAAUACGUAGGGUGCAAGCGUUAAUCGGAAUUACUGGGCGUAAAGCGUGCGCAGGCGGUUUGCUAAGACCGAUGUGAAAUCCCCGGGCUCAACCUGGGAACUGCAUUGGUGACUGGCAGGCUAGAGUAUGGCAGAGGGGGGUAGAAUUCCACGUGUAGCAGUGAAAUGCGUAGAGAUGUGGAGGAAUACCGAUGGCGAAGGCAGCCCCCUGGGCCAAUACUGACGCUCAUGCACGAAAGCGUGGGGAGCAAACAGGAUUAGAUACCCUGGUAGUCCACGCCCUAAACGAUGUCAACUAGUUGUGGGGAUUCAUUCCUUAGUAACGUAGCUAACGCGUGAAGUU
Molecule: ribosomal RNA, 516 nt
Filed under: uncultured bacterium
Lineage: Bacteria
Description: partial 16S ribosomal RNA
Rfam family: Bacterial small subunit ribosomal RNA
Source: RNAcentral